This 672-nucleotide long non-coding RNA is filed under the name Heterocephalus glaber (naked mole-rat). RNAcentral describes it as "lncRNA (ENSHGLG00100046775.1)". Lineage: Eukaryota; Metazoa; Chordata; Mammalia; Rodentia; Bathyergidae. The record is from RNAcentral.
CUUCUUAAGUCCAGGGAAGGGAGGGGACGGCGGGGCCCCAGUGUCCCUCCCCGCUGCCUCCCCCCACCCCGUUCCCCUUCUGGACGGGCGCCGUGGCUCCGGCACCCACUGCUGGGGAACCUGCGGAGUGGGCGGGGAGCGCGACUGAAAGUUCCAAGUUCACAGAAGUCCCGCGCGCGGCCCACCGCGUCUCGGGAUUUCGGGGGGGGGGUGUGUGGGGGGCCAGGUAAGCGGUUCGCGCACGUCAGGACCAGCCCCGCACCCUCUGGCAGCCUGCGCGGCGCGCUGCCCCGCCCUCGGUCACACGAACGCGCCUUCUCACCCGCGCGCACACCCGCAGCCGAGCACACGCGUCCGCGUGCACGGCCGCUCGUGUCCUCCAUCCUCGAGCGACCACCAGGAUGUGCCUCGGGCCUCGCCGCCGCCGCCGCUGCCGCUGUGCCCGCGACAGUGCCCCUAGCCCCAUUGUGUGAAUUCCACGAAGCAACAGCUUUGGGCUCCAGGCAGAGCGCAGGAGAAUCAUGCAGAGGAAGGAAGCACACAGGUUGGAGUCGCCUCCAAACAGCCCCAAGAGCCACUUAAAAAAAUUCUUUAAGGUUGGUUUUGUUUUUGGCUUUUGGAAAGCGUAUUCACUUAGGUGAUUUCUGUUUAAAGAAAAGCAAAUAAAAGAUG